GUCGACGAGCUUCCGUUGAAUGACGUGCUUGCACUGAUUUCAACAAUGAAGCGAGUGGCGAACUGGUGAGUAACACGUGGGGAAUCUGCCCAGAAGCAGGGGAUAACACUUGGAAACAGGUGCUAAUACCGUAUAACAACAAAAUCCGCAUGGAUUUUGUUUGAAAGGUGGCUUCGGCUAUCACUUCUGGAUGAUCCCGCGGCGUAUUAGUUAGUUGGUGAGGUAAAGGCCCACCAAGACGAUGAUACGUAGCCGACCUGAGAGGGUAAUCGGCCACAUUGGGACUGAGACACGGCCCAAACUCCUACGGGAGGCAGCAGUAGGGAAUCUUCCACAAUGGACGAAAGUCUGAUGGAGCAAUGCCGCGUGAGUGAAGAAGGGUUUCGGCUCGUAAAACUCUGUUGUUAAAGAAGAACACCUUUGAGAGUAACUGUUCAAGGGUUGACGGUAUUUAACCAGAAAGCCACGGCUAACUACGUGCCAGCAGCCGCGGUAAUACGUAGGUGGCAAGCGUUGUCCGGAUUUAUUGGGCGUAAAGCGAGCGCAGGCGGUUUUUUAAGUCUGAUGUGAAAGCCUUCGGCUUAACCGGAGAAGUGCAUCGGAAACUGGGAGACUUGAGUGCAGAAGAGGACAGUGGAACUCCAUGUGUAGCGGUGGAAUGCGUAGAUAUAUGGAAGAACACCAGUGGCGAAGGCGGCUGUCUAGUCUGUAACUGACGCUGAGGCUCGAAAGCAUGGGUAGCGAACAGGAUUAGAUACCCUGGUAGUCCAUGCCGUAAACGAUGAGUGCUAAGUGUUGGAGGGUUUCCGCCCUUCAGUGCUGCAGCUAACGCAUUAAGCACUCCGCCUGGGG
RNAcentral lists this ribosomal RNA (852 nucleotides) under Lactobacillus sp. 14.8.6. RNAcentral's name for it is "bacterial SSU rRNA". It matches the Rfam family "Bacterial small subunit ribosomal RNA", at positions 38 to 878 of the family's 1533-position model. Lineage: Bacteria; Bacillati; Bacillota; Bacilli; Lactobacillales; Lactobacillaceae. The record is from RNAcentral.